AUUAGAUACCCGCGUACGUCCCAGACCGUAAACUAUGCGCGUUAGGUGUAUCGGUGACCACGAGUCACCGAGGUGCCGAAGGGAAACCGUGAAACGUGCCGCCUGGGAAGUACGGUCGCAAGGCUGAAACUUAAAGGAAUUGGCGGGGAGCACCACAACAGGUGGAGCCUGCGGUUUAAUUGGACUCAACGCCGGGAAGCUCACCGGAUAGGACAGCAGAAUGAUUGCCGGGCUGAAGACCCUGCAUGACUAGCUG
Molecule: ribosomal RNA, 256 nt
Filed under: uncultured archaeon
Lineage: Archaea
Description: partial 16S ribosomal RNA
Rfam family: Archaeal small subunit ribosomal RNA
Source: RNAcentral